This 484-nucleotide ribosomal RNA is filed under the name uncultured bacterium. Its description in RNAcentral is "partial 16S ribosomal RNA". It matches the Rfam family "Bacterial small subunit ribosomal RNA", at positions 30 to 507 of the family's 1533-position model. The record is from RNAcentral.
AUUGAACGCUGGCGGCAUGCCUUACACAUGCAAGUCGAACGGCAGCGCGGGAGCAAUCCUGGCGGCGAGUGGCGAACGGGUGAGUAAUACAUCGGAACGUGCCCAAUCGUGGGGGAUAACGCAGCGAAAGCUGUGCUAAUACCGCAUACGAUCUACGGAUGAAAGCAGGGGAUCGCAAGACCUUGCGCGAAUGGAGCGGCCGAUGGCAGAUUAGGUAGUUGGUGAGGUAAAGGCUCACCAAGCCUUCGAUCUGUAGCUGGUCUGAGAGGACGACCAGCCACACUGGGACUGAGACACGGCCCAGACUCCUACGGGAGGCAGCAGUGGGGAAUUUUGGACAAUGGGCGAAAGCCUGAUCCAGCCAUGCCGCGUGCAGGAUGAAGGCCUUCGGGUUGUAAACUGCUUUUGUACGGAACGAAACGGUCUUUUCUAAUAAAGAAGGCUAAUGACGGUACCGUAAGAAUAAGCAUCGGCUAACUACGUG